This 772-nucleotide non-coding RNA is filed under the name Paracyba sp. Lineage: Eukaryota; Metazoa; Arthropoda; Insecta; Hemiptera; Cicadellidae. The record is from RNAcentral.
GAAACAUAUAAAUACUGUCUAGGUUUUAGAUGAAAUUUAUUUAUAAGUUUUAUUCUUGCUUAUUUUAUUAAUUAUUUAUUAAGAUUAUAUGAUUAUUUUUUAAUUUUUAUUUGUUCAGUAAUAAGUAUUAUUAAUUAUUAUCAUUAUUAUUAAGUUAUUUAAUUAUAUUGGAUUAAAAUUGUGCCAGCAGUCGCGGUUAUACAAUUCAUUAAAUUUAAUAUUAUAAGUUUUAAUUAUUUUUUUUUUGGAAAUAAAUUAAUUAAAUUUAGGUGGAAUUUAUUUAAUCUUUCAUUUUCUUUUAGAAUUUUUAUUAAAUUUUAAUUUUAAACUAGGAUUAGAUACCCUAUUAUUUUUAAUUUAAUGAUUUACUUGAAUAUUAUCAGUUAAUUUCUGUUAAACUCAAAGAAUUUGGCGGUAAUUAAUUUUUUUAGAGGAAUUUGGUUUUUAAUUGAUAAACCACGAUAAAUUUGACUUUUUUUGUAUUUGUAUAUCUCUAUAAUUUGGAAUGUUAUAAUAAUAUAUUUUCUUUCUUUUUUAAAAAAUUUAUGUUAGGUCAAGGUGCAGUUUUAAAAAAGCAAAUUUGAAUUACUUUAAUACUAUAUAUUUAUCAUUAAUUUGUUUAUUAUAUUUAUUAAAUAGAAUUUAACAGUAAGUUUAAAUAAUUAUUUAAUCUGAAUAUAAUACUAAAUUAUGUACAUAUUGCCCGUCACUCUCAUUUAAGUUGAGAUAAGUCGUAACAAAGUAAUUUUACUGGAAAGUGAGGUUAGAAUGU